UGCGAGAAGGAUGUUCCGAGAAUCUCGUACGCCGGUGAGGUUUCCCGUGAUCUGGCCGAGGUUUUCUGGAUACAUUCAACGCGGAA
This 86-nucleotide microRNA precursor is filed under the name Oryza sativa (Asian cultivated rice). Its description in RNAcentral is "miR2106 stem-loop (osa-MIR2106)". The record is from miRBase by way of RNAcentral. Lineage: Eukaryota; Viridiplantae; Streptophyta; Magnoliopsida; Poales; Poaceae.